This 377-nucleotide ribosomal RNA is filed under the name uncultured bacterium. RNAcentral's name for it is "bacterial SSU rRNA". It matches the Rfam family "Bacterial small subunit ribosomal RNA", at positions 524 to 898 of the family's 1533-position model. The record is from RNAcentral.
UACGAAGGGUGCGAGCGUUAUUCGGAGUUACUGGGCGUAAAGAGCAUGUAGGCGGUUUAUUAAGUUAGUUGUUAAAUUUCACGGCUUAACUGUGAGCAUGCAGCUAAUACUGAUAAGCUAGAGCAUAGAAGAGAGAGGUGGAAUUCCCGGAGUAGCGGUAAAAUGCGUAGAUCUCGGGAGGAACACCGGUUGCGAAGGCGGCUUCUUGGUCUAUUGCUGACGCUAAAGUGCGAAAGCGUGGGGAGCAAACAGGAUUAGAUACCCUGGUAGUCCACGCCGUAAACGAUGGUCACUAGAUGUGGGUCGGGCAUAGCUUGAUCCGUGUCGAAGCUAACGCGUUAAGUGGCCCGCCUGAGUAGUACGGUCGCAAGAUUAAA